GGUCCCAGCUCUGGGUCGCGUUGCCGUUGGAAGAGGUGCGAGUGCGGUCACCAGGUCGCCGGUGUCCUGGGGCUGAAGAGGGGGCACAGGCAGCAAGGGCAGGCGUGUGCCGAGCGCCCAGAGGGAAACAUGCUGGACUUGCACCCUGCGGGCUGCCGGGCGCCCGAGGAACGUUCCUCUAGACAGUCGGUAGCCGCCCGUAGUGAGGAGCCCAGACGCCCCGCUCUCCGAGCGCUUAGCCGCCUGUCCUGCCUGCCCCCCCGCACAGCCCGACCCAUCACCGGCCCUCUGGCCCCCGGGGCAGGUGGAGCUGCGGGCAGGCCCCUUCCCGGGGGGAGCUUGUCCACAUCCGCGGUUGGGGCGCUCGGGUGCCCUCUGCCUCCAGAGCCUGCUUCCUGCUUUCCCGGUCAGCAGCCUCCGCGGUGUCGCCCUGAGCCGGAGGAGAACCGGGAGCCGUCCUGGGAAGUGGCUCCAGUUCCACUGCUUUCAGGGAGACCUAGGUUUUGGUUUUCGGUUUUUUGGGCUGUGCUCACAGUGUGCAGGAGCCCCUGGGCCAGGGAUGGAACCCAGGCCACCGCAGGGACAACCGCCAAGGAGCGCCACAGCUUUGUUUUUCUGGUUGAAAUGGCCUGACUUGCUCUCUCUUUCCGUCCUGCGUUGGUGGCGGCCAGACUGAAGGGAGGUGCCUGCUAGGAUCAGCAUGACUGACGGGUGGGCUGCUGAGCAGAGAGCACACCCAGCCUGUCCUGAGCAGUGUCCCCAUCUCUGGUCGGAGGCCACGGUGGGAGUCACACUUCGGAGCCACAUGUUCCCAGAACUGGCUGGAAGCACGUGGGGGACCGGGGACCGCGGGACGGCGUACAGGGCGGCGUUGGCCGUGGAGGUGGGGCACGGCCUCGGCAUGGGGAAUAAAGCCACCAAGUCCACGAGAAGGUCUUGCAGGGAGAGGCCCCGGACCGCAAGGCUGCUGGCUGCUCAGCACUCGGGCUUCGUGGGGACUCGGCCGGCCCAGGCGGCACCAGUGCGGACGCUCCAGGAGUCAGGGUUGGAACUCAGACCUGGUCUCAGAUCUGCUCUCUCCACCCCAGGGAGGCAUCACAGUGGGCUUCAGGGCCCGCCGCGUGUGCAGGUUUCGGGGUCGGGAGUGCUUUGGGAGGGGCCUGUCGUGGGCACAGGUCCACGUCCUUAGCCGGGUCCCUUCUGUGCCCACCCUGGUGCUCCUCGUUUCCCGCAGUGGCCCUCGCCCUCGGGUCUCCGGCUGGCCCCGCGGCUGACCACGCGCGCGUGGAGAUCUCACUGCCUGGGCUUGUCAGCCUCAGCCUCCCUGAGCAACGCCAAGGUCACAGGCGUCCCUGGAGAGGCUCGCGCCCCUGCCCCACACACUAUGCAAAUCUUAGGUUUCUGUGUUAGGCUGCUUCUGCCAGCUCCUCAAAGCUAAAGUCUGGCAUAAACCCCGAGGGCCCUCUGAUGCAGACACUGUACCCGAGGGACCCUCAGGAUCGCAGGAGGGGCGUGUCCAGCUCCUCGAGCCCCAGAGCGUCAGGACGGCCAGGUAGGAGCCCGAGCACAACCAGCAGGAUCCGGUCCUGGUGACGCCAUUGACAAGGCUUGGGGUGGCCUCUCAGGUCCUGGGGCAUCAGUGUCUGGUGUCCAGUUAGGAACUGGGCUGGGAAGUAACGGGCCCUCGGGGGCCGUGUCCACAGAGGACCGACCUGUGGGGGAUCUGGGCGAGGAGCAGUUCCCCCCCAUCUGCAGAGCCCUCCAUCGUGGGGAGGGUGUAACCCAGGAAAACCAGCCUUCACUCGUUCUCUUUCAGUGUUAAUUCAGUCAGCUCUACUUGUGCAAACUAGCCGUGAAACUGUUGGCCAGGUCACUUAAAAUUAAUCUGCUUUCACAAAGCCUUUGCAGAGCUGGACUGCGAUACGGCACAGGCUCAGUAUUACUGCGGGACCGUCCACAGGCGAGAACCCAUCCCCGGCGCCAUCUCGCCAUCCUGACUUGCUUUCCUUUCAAGUGAACCGUUUAAGGAAUGGCUUACAAGGAGAUGCCUUCGUGGCGGUGAAGGAGCACCUUAAACUGCCUGCCUCUUGUGGAGACUGUUUCGUGCUUGUCUUUAACAGGUAACGGGACGUGGAGGGGUGACUGUGGGUGCAGUCGACACAGGACGGUCCCGCCCCGAGAAAGCACCCUCACCACUCACACGGGUUAGGUGCAGGCUGGCGCACCCGACCAGGUAACAGCAGUGGUGCCCCGUGGGGGCUCGGGCCACUAGGGCUUCCGUCCUCGCCUCCGUUUCUCCUUCUCAGGGUUGGAGCCGCUCACCUCCAUCUCUCCAGCUUAGUUUCCGGCAGCAUCCGCCGGCCCAGCGUUUCUAAGGAAGCAUCCUGAGCACAGGUCCAGGUCCAGGACAAGUCAACCCACAGCUCCUGCUUCUCCCUGUGAGGCUAAGUCCAUUUAAUACACCUGAAAACCCAAGCUUUGCCAGAAAGAAGUGUGCUGAGAGCCUAAGGCAUAGCAUCUCCAACAGUACAGCUUGUGACUGUUCUUCCUGUAUGAUCUCGUUUUUAGUUGCUUCACUUUUUUUCUCCAGGCUGUUACAAGAAGGAACCGCAUGAAGUUUUGCUUUCAAAGUGGAGGAUGUGCCUGGUGGCCCAGGUGAUAGUCAGUAAUAUCAGAGUGGGGUUCCUUGUGUGACCCGGUGGGCAGUGGAGCGAUUCUCAAAGUGCAGCCAGGGCCAGGGACAUGCUCGGGGGCCCGGAGACCCUUUCAGGGUCCACUUUUGUCUUUCACUGCAAUCUUCUCUCUGUGAGUGCUCGUCGGCCUUACAGCUGCGGGCGUGUGAUCACACAGGACGGAGCCCAGAGCCCGCCACUCUCUCUGACUUGUUUGCUUUAGAAGAUAUUACUCUCAUUAAGUGUAUGAAUAAACUUUUUUUUAACUCGCCAUUUAAAUUUCUAAUAAGGUGAACAUCAGUAGACAGGCCACAAAAGAGUCUGUUUGGAUCCUGAGAGUGGGGAGGGGUCCUGAGACCCCGGGGUGCUGGGUGGGGGCGUGUUGGGGCCGCACUGCCUGGACGGGUCUCAGCCCAACCACGGUGGGGUUAGUCGGCGAACCUUGGUUUCUUUGUCUGUAAGAGGCAGGUUUUACUGGGUUUCCUCCAUAAGGCUCUCGUGAGGUCUCAGUGGGGCAAUCCGGAUAAAGUGGAUUAUGAUUUCCAUGGCAAAUAACAGCGGAACAACCUCCUGCAUGUGUUCCUAGUUCCAGAGCCUUCAGAGUAACAGGCCAGUAUCGGAAGAAAUUUGGGCAUCCUUUAGUUAUGACCUGAAGUUCUCUCUUUCUCAGGACUGAAAUAGGAUUUUUAAAACUAGAAUCAGCUUACCAUGUUUUCAAAUUCAGAUUGAGUUUUGGUUCUGGAUGUUUGAGUACCUCUUACUACAGCAAGUAAAACACUUUGAAUCAAACCAUACAAGUGAACUACAGCAUUUAUGGGAAAAGAGUGUAACUGCAAAAACAAAACCAGCGUGUUUCCCUUUUGGAAAUUUUGUUUUUCCUUUUUGAAAUAUGUUUGUGUGUUUUCCCUUUUGAAACUUUUCUGCACAUUGAAGUGUGUGCCGUAGUAGAACCAAGAACUUAGGGAGGAAGACGAAACCCUUCUUAGAGUAAAUGCUGAUUUCCUGGCCUUGGGACGGGCUCACGGGCUGAAUUUGAUCAGGGGCCAGCUCCCGGGUGAGGACCAGACGAGCAGCGUCUGUGUGGUAAACAGCACCUCUCAUCUCUGGGGUACCUGUGGGCUCCAGGCACGAUGUGUGAGCAUCUCUGGCCCCUCGCUGCAGUGACGUCAUCCCAGCACAGCCUCCAUCCUUUCCAGUUCAGUUCAGACCCGGGCGACAGUCACCCGCGAGCGACAGUUUCACCCCGGCCUGGGCGUACUCUUCUUGGCAUUUACUUCAUUGAUUGGAGUGUUUUCUGCAUAUACUUGAUUCAUCCUGGAAAUAUUUGAAAGAGUUGUUCUAAUGAAAAAUCUUUGUUCAUACAGUGACUCUGAAAAAAGGAGAGAAAACGUUGCCAUUCAUUUCCAAAUGAUGGGAGAUGACUUAUUGUUUAUUUCACAUUUGAAAAUAAAUAAAUAUCGUUUGAAAAUUAAAUACU
This 4149-nucleotide long non-coding RNA is filed under the name Sus scrofa (pig). RNAcentral's name for it is "lncRNA (ENSSSCG00000062461.1)". The record is from RNAcentral. Lineage: Eukaryota; Metazoa; Chordata; Mammalia; Artiodactyla; Suidae.